Molecule: long non-coding RNA, 564 nt
Organism: Exaiptasia diaphana
Lineage: Eukaryota; Metazoa; Cnidaria; Anthozoa; Actiniaria; Aiptasiidae
Exons: 4
Source: RefSeq, a predicted model, not a curated record
CGCGCCGGCCKUUUGACGCUGAAGUACUCCAGAAGUGCAAACGAAGCAGUUAGUACCAUAUGACUUCUUUACUGCUUCUAAUGAAGCUAUCAUAGUCAUUCACAAUGGGCAAGACAAGGAACAGAGACUUAUUUUAUCAAGGAUCCUUUUCGUCUACACUUCCCCCGCGGUCCUGGGGGUCCUGGAGAGCCUGGAUCACCUUUAGGCCCUGGCGGACCUAGUUCGUUGAUGAAACCAUAGCAAGCAGGAUACAGCAAGAACGCCCCGAAGUACGUCUUAGUGGAAUGGAAGUUAUAAAACCCGUUAACAUGUACCCUCAAUGAAAUCUYAUCCCCUGUAUCCAAGCGAAACAURGCACCAUUAUAAUUGCUAUUGUACUUGGUAUUAUUAUUGGUCACACCGCUUGAGCUGUGUAGUAUUUUCACCCUGUUUCUAUAAAGGCCGUGGGAAUAAUGGAUUCUAAAGAGCAUGCGCCUUAAAACGUGUUUCAUCRGAUAAACGCACUUUUAAUCAUCCCAUAACGUUCAUAGAAGUAUACUUUACCUUGRUAGACUUGGCUCAAAU